AAUCUCAUUAGAGCAGAAUUUUUGCACAACAAAGCUCAAGAACAUAAAUUUCGUAAGCUUUUCUUUUCUUUUUCUUUUUAUUUUAUUAUACCAUAAUUAUGUUUAUUUUGAUCCAUACAAGGCCAACCUCAUGGCCAUAUAAUCUGUACUAUACCCAGCAACUUGGCGCAAACGGAUCUCGGAAUCUAGGCCUAACGAGUAAUACGCGGAAAGGUAACCUGGACACUACGUGACGACCCCCUUUGUGUUAGCUGCUUGUGAAGUUUAUGUGCGAUACUAUGUGGAUAGAGGCAUGCUACUUAGCUAAAUAAAACGGUUCAUGAAAACUUGCGUAGUAUCUAGCUAAAAUAUGCAACAGUAAUGUGUAAUAGCGAUACGUAAAACAAUGAUGUAUCAUAUUGUUUAAUUAAUGUUUAAUAGAGUAUCUU
This 428-nucleotide long non-coding RNA is filed under the name Helianthus annuus (common sunflower). The record is from RNAcentral. Lineage: Eukaryota; Viridiplantae; Streptophyta; Magnoliopsida; Asterales; Asteraceae.